Molecule: ribosomal RNA, 250 nt
Filed under: uncultured bacterium
Lineage: Bacteria
Description: partial 16S ribosomal RNA
Rfam family: Bacterial small subunit ribosomal RNA
Source: RNAcentral
UAGAUACCCUGGUAGUCCUAGCAGUAAACGGUGCACGUUUGGUGUGGGGGGAUUCGACCCCUUCCGCGCCGGAGCUAACGCGUUAAGCGUGCCGCCUGGGAAGUACGAUCGCAAGAUUAAAACUCAAAGAAAUUGACGGGGACCCGCACAAGCGGUGGAGUAUGUGGCUUAAUUCGAUGCAACGCGAAGAACCUUACCUGGUCUUGACAUGCACUGUGUCUCCGGUGAAAGCCGGAUAGUGUAGCAAUAC